ACAAAUAAAUUUCCCUCUUAUCUCAUUUUCAUGACGCUCAACUCUCUCUGUGGGUCUGUCUGUCUCCAUCUGCAUCUUCCAUCUUCGUGCGACUCAGAAUCACUCCCGCUGGCAAGAGCUGGAAUUUGUAUAGCAUCAAUGUCGAAGCCACUGUAAGUUGCUGAGCAAGUUGUUGCAGCUCUUCGUUGUUGACAAAUUCACGAAGGAUUGGCCGUGUCUGCACAUCUACCCGCUAGGUUUUUCUAUUGCACAGGAGAACCCUUGUUUGAUCGAUUCCAAGUCCUCUCUUUGCUCAAGUAUCCCCUCUGCCUCCUCUCUCUAUAUUGAGGUAUUGUGGUUUGAAAUUUACACUUUUGUUUACAAAUGGCUUGAAUUCGAGCUUCUUCAUUUGGUUUCUUCAUUAGCGUUUUUCUUCAAGGUAAGUUUCUUCUGCGUUCUCUACUUUUCUAUUGUAUCUUGCUAAUUUUCACUUCCAUAUAUGUAGUAUCUUUCUCUCGACCUUAUUUGUUUGCUGGAUCUAGCAGCUUCGAUGCAUUUUCAAGUUUAAAAUCUCUUUUUUUUCUCUUAUGCACCCCUUAUUUAUGUAACUUCGUUAUAUGUGAUUAUUAAGCUGAAUUGAUUCUGAUCUUCUUUCGUUCAGCUUGAACACCGAUUUGAUUGCAUUUUGAUACACACAAGCAAGCAUGUAUGAUUGUGUUCAAUUUGCUUAACUUUUUGAGUGGGAACUUUUGCAUUGUUACAUUAUUAUUGAGCAAAACAUGAAUGAAUUUGAGAAUGAAACAGUUUAAACUGUUAGGUUAGUACACAUGACUAUAAUGUAAUUUGAGAUACUAUACAGGAUCUUUCCUGCAUUAGUGUGUGGAGUUUUUGUUGUUCAUGAUGCCAUUUAGUAGGUUAUUAACAUUAUGGUGGUUUAUCAACUUAGGCAAGACCAUUUUCUUCGAUGUUUUCUUAUAUUUCUGCUCUGUUACUGUUAGGUAUUUGGCAUCUCUACUCUACAAAUAUUUUCUUCACAUGGAUUGGACUAUUUGUUUUGCUGUCGUAGAGAGUCGUGGGAGGUGAAUUUUAUUCGUAAAAAUGUCAGUUGUAAGUUUCAUAUUGUACAAGUAAGACACAUAGAAUGGUGCAGAUACUCAUGAAUGAAAUACACUAUGUAAUGCCCGUGGCUACUGAGGCUGUUCAGCUCACAGCUAAAGCCCAUUACUCUGGCAAAUUGAAGGAGGAAGUCACUGCAGUCAAGAUCCAGAUAGCGUUCCGAGGAUAUUUGGUAUUAUUAUUCUCUCCCAUAAAUGCCCAUUUUGGUCUAAUUUGAGUUAGUUCAUGAAGUAUGCAUUCUAUACAUGAUUUCUUCUUUUGUUUGCUUUGUCGUUCUUCCUUAAUAUGUUGUUUUUUGUUUUGAAAAAAUGCCAAAUGUGCUUGUGAUUAUGACAUUUGUUGGAUUUGAGAUCAUUUACACACUCGUGUAUGGUUAAAAUCUGGCCGGUAGCUUAGCCAAACUGUGGGAAUAUGUUGCGGGAAGUUUAGAUUUCUGAUAACUAGUUGAAUUUCAGUUGUGCAGUUAGCAUUAUUAAACUGAAUUUAUCUUCUUAUCGAGUCAAUGGCCUGUUCUGAAUAAUCUUUUUUGACUCAUUCUGUAGUUUGUUAUCAUUUUCAUUUUUCAUUCUGCAUUAAUUGCCUACUUUAAUGUCUGGACUUUUACUAGUAAAUGCAAAAAAUCAUCGACCACUCUUUCAAUUUGUGAGCCAAACUUACUGCAUUUAUGAUGAAAUCACUUGAUAGGUUUCAUCUUCUAGAUAGAUCCGGAUAUAUGAAAGCUUAAAGGAGAGUGUUAAAUUUAAAUAAUUGAAGAUGCUUGUGCAUAGUGUAUCCCUCAAAGUUGAAAACCCUUGAAAGAGAGAAUAAUUCCUUUAUGGAUCCAAUAGGGCUGUGAAUUGUUUACUCAUUGUUUUAGAUAAUUCAAAGUACACAGAUUUUGGAUGCAAAGCUGAGGUAAAAAAGUAACACAGAACGAGUAAAAAAAACUAACAUUAGCUCCAAUUCAAAAGUGGUGUAGUUCAAUAGAAAUAGAACAAAUACAGGUGCUGCAUACUACAUACUCAUCAUGUGUGCAACUCAUCCCAUUGCCUAGUUUAAUUGAAGCACUUUAGGAAUUGGAUUUAAACAAUGCAACUGGAGGCCUUUAAACAAUGAAUGUUUUAUAGUUUUGUUUCUUUUCUUUCUGUUUUCCCCCUCCUUCAAUACGUGUUGACUCAAAGUUUGAGUAUAAAAUAGAUGCAAAAUUAUGAUGGACCUCAUGGUUUCAACUAUGAGUCUUCUUUUACACUCUUUAUUUAUGUGUUUUUCCUUUCCAUUUAUUUGGUAAGUAAGCAUUUCAUUGAUGCUCAAUCUGGAUUUUCCUACAACACUUGAAUAUUAUCAUUGGAGUCACAUAGCUCUAUUGUCACAUGAUAUAUCUAAGGCUCUCAUAUUUGAUGUCUUUAUGUAGUCAAUAAUUGUUGAAUACGGACACACUACCCUUUUGAAGUGGUUGUUUUCUUAGGAAGGAUUACUGCUCUUUUUCAGAUCGCUUACAUAUAUACAAGAAAAUAUUGGAUGAUCAUAAAAUAUCUGAUACCAGUGAAGCUUUUAAUAGGCAUCCUACCUAAGUUUUCACUCUUGGAGAAGUAUUACCUGCUUGAGAUACAUUUGAGGGGCAAGAUUUCUUUCACACUAGUGCAAUGUUGAUAUCCUUUAUUCUCUUAGGAAAAUAUUUGCAGGUAAUGUCAUGUCAGAGAUAGAAAUCAGCACUCAACUACUACAGAGGAAUGACAUUUUGAACACCGAUUCCAGAGGCAAAGGUUCCUGUUAAUGGUAUUGUUAUUAAUGGUCAGAGUCAUGUGAAUGAGGGGUAUGAUCACAGGAGAAGCAAAGCCAAUAGCUAAGAGACCUAGUGACACGGUUCAGAUGGUUUAUUUUCUCUUAGUAGUAAAAUUGAUACUUUUGACAUUUUUAAAAUGUUUAAUUUAAUGGCAAUAUAUAUAUUUUUUUAUAACAUCAUGAACAGGUUAUUUGUGGCACACCCAUGGAUGAAUGUAAUCCACUGUACGGCACCAUUCAUGUGCCUUUUUUUUUUAUUCAAAAUAUAAAAAUUUGACAAAAGGAUUCAA
Molecule: non-coding RNA, 3146 nt
Organism: Camellia sinensis
Lineage: Eukaryota; Viridiplantae; Streptophyta; Magnoliopsida; Ericales; Theaceae
Source: RefSeq, a predicted model, not a curated record